RNAcentral lists this long non-coding RNA (633 nucleotides) under Fukomys damarensis (Damara mole-rat). RNAcentral describes it as "lncRNA (ENSFDAG00000029388.1)". The record is from RNAcentral. Lineage: Eukaryota; Metazoa; Chordata; Mammalia; Rodentia; Bathyergidae.
AAGCCACUGAGUUAAUGGUGAUUUCCUAUUUCUCUGAUGUUUGUCUUUCACCUUGCUCUCCCUCCUCUGCAGCUCAGACUCUCAGAACACAGAUAUAAGCCUUCUGUGAUGCCCCGUCCACAUCUACAGCACUGGAGUAUUCUACCCAGUUCAGGUCUCUGGAUCUACAUGGGCUGCCUAGUGCCAGACCCACACCUGUGCUGCACUGCGUGGGACACGCCCGUGAGUCAGGAAAACCUCAGGCCUGCACACAGGAUUUAAUUUGUUUCACCCAUCUCAGCCCUUCCCAAUCCAUCUCUGCAGUCCCUCCUGCUGGCCCAGGGCAGACAUGAACAAUCCAUCUCUGCUCUGUCCCUCACAGAGCGCAGGCCCUUGGAACAUUCUCUAAUCUUCACGUAGAUCCAAACAAAUGGCUAGAAUUAACAAACAAGAUAGUAAUUUAGUAAUUACCUGCUUUCCCUACCCUGAACACUGUCUUUCGGAAGGAAUGAAGUGACAAAAAAAAAAUCUAAAGUGAAUUUCUCAUCUGAAAGCAGCGGUUGUUUCAGAUUUUGGAGAGCUUGAAUCUUAUAUAAUAUGGAUGCUCCCUUGUUUAAAAAAAAAUCCACAUACUGAACACAAAGUUCCUCUGUG